Molecule: unclassified non-coding RNA, 359 nt
Filed under: Dendronephthya gigantea
Lineage: Eukaryota; Metazoa; Cnidaria; Anthozoa; Malacalcyonacea; Nephtheidae
Description: calcium/calmodulin-dependent protein kinase type II delta chain-like, transcript variant X1
Source: RNAcentral
UAUGUUUGGUAUGCCAUAUACUUCAGUUUACUCAAAUUCACGUAGUGAACACGAUUUGUAAUGAAGCUGGAGCAGGCAAAUAACCCAUUGGAGAAACAAGUCAAAGAAGGGUCGUAUAAAUUUCCGAACAACCUAUGGAAGAAUGUUAGCAGUGAAGCUAAGGAUCUUAUAACAAAACUGCUUACUGUUGGUCACAGAAAAUGCAUCACGGUUUCAGAAGCUCUGGAACAUCCUUGGAUGAAGGAUAAAGAAAUGAUAGAAAAAGCAGAAAAAAUGAUAAAACCGACCGUGGAUGGAAGAUCAAUGUCUCCGCCCUUAUAAAAGACAUUUUGAAGACAACAGAGACCAAAAAAGCGAAA